GAUGAACGCUGGCGGCGUGCCUAAUACAUGCAAGUCGAGCGAACAGACGAGGAGCUUGCUCCUCUGACGUUAGCGGCGGACGGGUGAGUAACACGUGGAUAACCUACCUAUAAGACUGGGAUAACUUCGGGAAACCGGAGCUAAUGCCGGAUAAUAUAUUGAACCGCAUGGUUCAAUAGUGAAAGGCGGUUUUGCUGUCACUUAUAGAUGGAUCCGCGCCGCAUUAGCUAGUUGGUAAGGUAACGGCUUACCAAGGCAACGAUGCGUAGCCGACCUGAGAGGGUGAUCGGCCACACUGGAACUGAGACACGGUCCAGACUCCUACGGGAGGCAGCAGUAGGGAAUCUUCCGCAAUGGGCGAAAGCUUGACGGAGCAACGCCGCGUGAGUGAUGAAGGUCUUCGGAUCGUAAAACUCUGUUAUUAGGGAAGAACAAAUGUGUAAGUAACUAUGCACGUCUUGACGGUACCUAAUCAGAAAGCCACGGCUAACUACGUG
Molecule: ribosomal RNA, 497 nt
Filed under: uncultured bacterium
Lineage: Bacteria
Description: partial 16S ribosomal RNA
Rfam family: Bacterial small subunit ribosomal RNA
Source: RNAcentral